Molecule: ribosomal RNA, 301 nt
Filed under: uncultured bacterium
Lineage: Bacteria
Description: partial 16S ribosomal RNA
Rfam family: Bacterial small subunit ribosomal RNA
Source: RNAcentral
CAGUCGCCGCGGUUAUACGAAGGGGGCAAGCGUUGUUCGGAAUUAUUGGGCGUAAAGGGUGCGUAGGCGGUUUGAUAAGUCUUGUGUGAAAUCUAUGGGCUCAACCCAUAGUCUGCACAGGAAACUGUCGGGCUUGAGAGUGGGAGAGGUGAGUGGAAUUUCCGGUGUAGCGGUGAAAUGCGUAGAUAUCGGAAGGAACACCUGUGGCGAAAGCGGCUCACUGGACCAUUUCUGACGCUGAUGCACGAAAGCUAGGGGAGCAAACAGGAUUAGAUACCCCCGUAGUCCCUGUCUCUUAUAC